This 562-nucleotide ribosomal RNA is filed under the name uncultured bacterium. Its description in RNAcentral is "bacterial SSU rRNA". It matches the Rfam family "Bacterial small subunit ribosomal RNA", at positions 119 to 674 of the family's 1533-position model. The record is from RNAcentral.
AGGAAUCUGCCUAUUAGUGGGGGACAACAUCUCGAAAGGGAUGCUAAUACCGCAUACGUCCUACGGGAGAAAGCAGGGGAUCACUUGUGACCUUGCGCUAAUAGAUGAGCCUAAGUCGGAUUAGCUAGUUGGUGGGGUAAAGGCCUACCAAGGCGACGAUCUGUAGCGGGUCUGAGAGGAUGAUCCGCCACACUGGGACUGAGACACGGCCCAGACUCCUACGGGAGGCAGCAGUGGGGAAUAUUGGACAAUGGGGGGAACCCUGAUCCAGCCAUGCCGCGUGUGUGAAGAAGGCCUUAUGGUUGUAAAGCACUUUAAGCGAGGAGGAGGCUCUUUUGGUUAAUACCCAGAAUGAGUGGACGUUACUCGCAGAAUAAGCACCGGCUAACUCUGUGCCAGCAGCCGCGGUAAUACAGAGGGUGCAAGCGUUAGUCGGAUUUACUGGGCGUAAAGCGCGCGUAGGCGGCCAAUUAAGUCAAAUGUGAAAUCCCCGAGCUUAACUUGGGAAUUGCAUUCGAUACUGGUUGGCUAGAGUGUGGGAGAGGAUGGUAGAAUUCCAGGU